CGGUUUAGCAACUUUGGCCGAGCGGUUAAGGUCAGCUGAUCUCUAUUCUGAAAAAACUGAAUCAGAACUAACAAAAUAAACAGGCGCCAGACUCAAGAAUAAAUAUAUUCUUCACUGAUCACAGUGAGCAUUCUGGUCACGAAAGUGGCGUGGGUUCGAUUCCCACAGGUUGCAU
RNAcentral lists this transfer RNA (175 nucleotides) under Penicillium nalgiovense. Its description in RNAcentral is "tRNA-Phe". It matches the Rfam family "tRNA". Rfam says of the family: Transfer RNA (tRNA) molecules are approximately 80 nucleotides in length. The record is from RNAcentral. Lineage: Eukaryota; Fungi; Ascomycota; Eurotiomycetes; Eurotiales; Aspergillaceae.